AUGCAAGUCGAGCGAACAGAUAAGGAGCUUGCUCCUUUGACGUUAGCGGCGGACGGGUGAGUAACACGUGGGUAACCUACCUAUAAGACUGGGAUAACUUCGGGAAACCGGAGCUAAUACCGGAUAAUAUUUCGAACCGCAUGGUUCGAUAGUGAAAGAUGGUUUUGCUAUCACUUAUAGAUGGACCCGCGCCGUAUUAGCUAGUUGGUAAGGUAACGGCUUACCAAGGCGACGAUACGUAGCCGACCUGAGAGGGUGAUCGGCCACACUGGAACUGAGACACGGUCCAGACUCCUACGGGAGGCAGCAGUAGGGAAUCUUCCGCAAUGGGCGAAAGCCUGACGGAGCAACGCCGCGUGAGUGAUGAAGGUCUUCGGAUCGUAAAACUCUGUUAUUAGGGAAGAACAUACGUGUAAGUAACUGUGCACGUCUUGACGGUACCUAAUCAGAAAGCCACGGCUAACUACGUGCCAGCAGCCGCGGUAAUACGUAGGUGGCAAGCGUUAUCCGGAAUUAUUGGGCGUAAAGCGCGCGUAGGCGGUUUUUUAAGUCUGAUGUGAAAGCCCACGGCUCAACCGUGGAGGGUCAUUGGAAACUGGAAAACUUGAGUGCAGAAGAGGAAAGUGGAAUUCCAUGUGUAGCGGUGAAAUGCGCAGAGAUAUGGAGGAACACCAGUGGCGAAGGCGACUUUCUGGUCUGUAACUGACGCUGAUGUGCGAAAGCGUGGGGAUCAAACAGGAUUAGAUACCCUGGUAGUCCACGCCGUAAACGAUGAGUGCUAAGUGUUAGGGGGUUUCCGCCCCUUA
This 806-nucleotide ribosomal RNA is filed under the name Staphylococcus sp. RNAcentral's name for it is "bacterial SSU rRNA". It matches the Rfam family "Bacterial small subunit ribosomal RNA", at positions 55 to 842 of the family's 1533-position model. Lineage: Bacteria; Bacillati; Bacillota; Bacilli; Caryophanales; Staphylococcaceae. The record is from RNAcentral.